RNAcentral lists this ribosomal RNA (467 nucleotides) under uncultured bacterium. RNAcentral describes it as "partial 16S ribosomal RNA". It matches the Rfam family "Bacterial small subunit ribosomal RNA", at positions 28 to 507 of the family's 1533-position model. The record is from RNAcentral.
GACGAACGCUGGCGGCGUGCUUAACACAUGCAAGUCGAACGGAAAGGCCCUGCUUUUGUGGGGUGCUCGAGUGGCGAACGGGUGAGUAACACGUGAGUAACCUGCCCUUGACUUUGGGAUAACUUCAGGAAACUGGGGCUAAUACCGGAUAGGAGCUCCUGCUGCAUGGUGGGGGUUGGAAAGUUUCGGCGGUUGGGGUUGGACUCGCGGCUUAUCAGCUUGUUGGUGGGGUAGUGGCUUACCAAGGCUUUGACGGGUAGCCGGCCUGAGAGGGUGACCGGCCACCUAGGGACGGACAUAGGCCCCGCCCCCCCACGGGCGGGAGGCAGGGGGAAUGUAUACCAAUGGAGGGGCGAAAGCCGGAGCAAGCCCGGGGGCGGGAGGGAGGACUUCGGUAUGUAAACAGAUUUCGCUUGUGCCGAAGGGUAAGGACGGGACAUGGAUAAAAAACCCCGGGUAAAUCCGUG